Molecule: long non-coding RNA, 491 nt
Organism: Oryza sativa Japonica Group (Japanese rice)
Lineage: Eukaryota; Viridiplantae; Streptophyta; Magnoliopsida; Poales; Poaceae
Source: RefSeq, a predicted model, not a curated record
AGUCGUCCCGGCAAGGGCGAAUCCGCCGCAGGUGAAGGGGCGCACCGCCACCGCCACCGCCACCGCCACCGCCGGUCGCCCGCGGCCUCGUCGCGCUUGAACCAGGGGAGGCGAUGGUGAGUAGCCGCGGCGGCGGCGGCGGCGGCUGGCCACUCGGGGGGCGCGUGGGCAAGCUUCCCGCCGCCUCACGGAGAGGCGAUCGGAGGGCAACGCCGCGAACCGGCAAAACUAGAUUGGGAGGCGAGUGAGAUUCUGAUGCUCUCUGUUGAGGACCCACAAGAAGGGAAGGAUGCAGGUGGAUAGCAGCUAAAUAUGCUGGAGAAGAUGACAUGAUUUUUUUUAGAACAAUGAGCAGAUGACAUGAAUUGAGUACUUACAAAAAUAAAAACUGAUGUAAAUGAAGGCUUAAAACAACUUAGCUAGUCUUGAAAUAUGUAGUAGCAGGGAAACAAUCUACAGGAAAUUUUGCCAUGGCCUCCUCGAGUUCAAUC